AGAUCUACCGUGACAUUCUUCCACCUCUUGUGGAAAAGGACAUCAGUAAUAAAAUGUCAGGUUUUUUGUUUUUUUUUUUUGCAGAGGUGAAGGCUUAUACUUUUCACCAAAGACAGCUAUUUUAAGGGUUGUCAAAAGCACUGGGGAAGCGACAAAGGAUAACCUCACACUUCAGCUGUGGUGCCAGCACAGGAUGUCUGCUGGAUGCAGUGCUCCUUGGCAUGUGUGUGUGCAAGUGCCUUACUGAAUAACAUCAUUUUCCCAGAGAUGCAGUUUUAUUCUGUGGUCUGCAAACAGUAUCUCUUGGCCAACAAUAAAAGAGA
Molecule: long non-coding RNA, 323 nt
Filed under: Manacus vitellinus (golden-collared manakin)
Lineage: Eukaryota; Metazoa; Chordata; Aves; Passeriformes; Pipridae
Description: lncRNA (ENSMVIG00005011325.1)
Source: RNAcentral